UGAUGUGUGGCUCAGUGUUAGAGUGCUUGUUUAGCAUGCACGAGUCCCUGGGUUUGAUCCCCGGCACCACUA
Molecule: transfer RNA, 72 nt
Filed under: Heterocephalus glaber (naked mole-rat)
Lineage: Eukaryota; Metazoa; Chordata; Mammalia; Rodentia; Bathyergidae
Rfam family: tRNA
About the family: Transfer RNA (tRNA) molecules are approximately 80 nucleotides in length.
Source: Rfam by way of RNAcentral